UGAAUAUACCGGUUCUCGUUAGAUCACCGAAGUCAAGCAUCAUUGGGCGCGCUCAGCACUUGGGCGGGUGACCACCUGGGAACACCGCGUGA
Molecule: ribosomal RNA, 92 nt
Filed under: Caerostris extrusa
Lineage: Eukaryota; Metazoa; Arthropoda; Arachnida; Araneae; Araneidae
Source: RNAcentral